RNAcentral lists this ribosomal RNA (423 nucleotides) under Ameerega trivittata group sp. ABGD cluster 24. RNAcentral's name for it is "partial large subunit ribosomal RNA". It matches the Rfam family "Bacterial large subunit ribosomal RNA", at positions 1834 to 2457 of the family's 2925-position model. The record is from RNAcentral. Lineage: Eukaryota; Metazoa; Chordata; Amphibia; Anura; Dendrobatidae.
CUUGUUCAAUUAUAGGAGGUCCAGCCUGCCCAGUGACUCUGUUCAACGGCCGCGGUAUCCUAACCGUGCGAAGGUAGCGUAAUCACUUGUUCUUUAAAUGAGGACUAGUAUGAAUGGCCCCACGAGGGCUGCACUGUCUCCUUUUUCUAAUCAAUGAAACUAAUCUCCCCGUGAAGAAGCGGGAAUUAUCCUAUAAGACGAGAAGACCCUAUGGAGCUUUAAACAAUUGAAACAUUUGCUUUUCUCCUAACUCCUCCCGAGCUCUUUAUUUUUAUUUAAGCAUUAUUAUUUCUAGUUUUAGGUUGGGGUGACCACGGAGCAAAACUAAACCUCCAUGAAGAAAUGAAUAUUUUUAAGCCACAAACUACUUUUUUAAGCAUCAACAAAUUGACCUUCAUUGACCCAAUAUAUUGAUCAACGAAC